RNAcentral lists this transfer RNA (65 nucleotides) under Austinograea alayseae. RNAcentral's name for it is "tRNA-Asn". The record is from RNAcentral. Lineage: Eukaryota; Metazoa; Arthropoda; Malacostraca; Decapoda; Bythograeidae.
UUGAUAGAAACCAAACUAGAGGUAUGUCACUGUUAAUGACAAAAUUGAAUUCUUUUCCUAUCAAG